RNAcentral lists this ribosomal RNA (294 nucleotides) under uncultured Alphaproteobacteria bacterium. RNAcentral describes it as "partial 16S ribosomal RNA". It matches the Rfam family "Bacterial small subunit ribosomal RNA", at positions 20 to 344 of the family's 1533-position model. The record is from RNAcentral. Lineage: Bacteria; Pseudomonadati; Pseudomonadota; Alphaproteobacteria.
UGGCUCAGAACGAACGCUGGCGGCAGGCCUAACACAUGCAAGUCGAGCGCCCAGCAAUGGGAGCGGCGCACGGGUGAGUAACACGUGGGAACGUGCCCUAUGGUUCGGAAUAACUCAGGGAAACUUGAGCUAAUACCGGAUAAGCCCUACGGGGGAAAGAUUUAUCGCCAUUGGAGCGGCCCGCGUUGGAUUAGCUAGUUGGUUGUUUAAAAGCCUACCAGGGAAAAGAUCCAUAGCUGGUUUGAGAGAACGACCAGCCACAUNGGUCCNGUGACACAUGACUGACUCCUACGG